AUGCACGCUGGCGGCGUGCCUAAUACCUGCAAGUCGCGCGAACAGACGAGGAGCUUGCUCCUCUGACGUUAGCGGCGGACGGGUGAGUAACACGUGGAUAACCUACCUAUAAGACUGGGAUAACUUCGGGAAACCGGAGCUAAUACCGGAUAACAUGUUGAACCGCAUGGUUCAACAGUGAAAGACGGUCUUGCUGUCACUUAUAGAUGGAUCCGCGCCGCAUUAGCUAGUUGGUAAGGUAACGGCUUACCAAGGCAACGAUGCGUAGCCGACCUGAGAGGGUGAUCGGCCACACUGGAACUGAGACACGGUCCAGACUCCUACGGGAGGCAGCAGUAGGGAAUCUUCCGCAAUGGGCGAAAGCCUGACGGAGCAACGCCGCGUGAGUGAUGAAGGUCUUCGGAUCGUAAAACUCUGUUAUUAGGGAAGAACAAAUGUGUAAGUAACUAUGCACGUCUUGACGGUACCUAAUCAGAAAGCCACGGCUAACUACGUG
RNAcentral lists this ribosomal RNA (496 nucleotides) under uncultured bacterium. Its description in RNAcentral is "partial 16S ribosomal RNA". It matches the Rfam family "Bacterial small subunit ribosomal RNA", at positions 29 to 507 of the family's 1533-position model. The record is from RNAcentral.